Molecule: transfer RNA, 72 nt
Filed under: Maccullochella macquariensis
Lineage: Eukaryota; Metazoa; Chordata; Actinopteri; Centrarchiformes; Percichthyidae
Description: tRNA-Thr
Rfam family: tRNA
About the family: Transfer RNA (tRNA) molecules are approximately 80 nucleotides in length. Their secondary structure includes four short double-helical elements and three loops (D, anti-codon, and T loops). Further hydrogen bonds mediate the characteristic L-shaped molecular structure. tRNAs have two regions of fundamental functional importance: the anti-codon, which is responsible for specific mRNA codon recognition, and the 3' end, to which the tRNAs corresponding amino acid is attached (by aminoacyl-tRNA synthetases). tRNAs cope with the degeneracy of the genetic code in two manners: having more than one tRNA (with a specific anti-codon) for a particular amino acid; and 'wobble' base-pairing, i.e. permitting non-standard base-pairing at the 3rd anti-codon position.
Source: RNAcentral
GCACUAGUAGCUCAGCUUUAGAGCAUCGGUCUUGUAAACCGAACGCCGGAGGUUAAAAUCCACCCUAAUGCU